Molecule: ribosomal RNA, 292 nt
Filed under: uncultured bacterium
Lineage: Bacteria
Description: partial 16S ribosomal RNA
Rfam family: Bacterial small subunit ribosomal RNA
Source: RNAcentral
GUGUCAGCCGCCGCGGUAAGACGUAGGGUGCGAGCGUUGUCCGGAGUUACUGGGCGUAAAGGGCGCGUAGGCGGGUGCCCGCGUCGCACGUGAAAGCCCCCGGCUCAACCGGGGAGGGUCGUGCGAAACGGGGUACCUGGAGGCAGUGAGAGGCUGGUGGAAUUCCCGGAGUAGUGGUGAAAUGCGUAGAGAUCGGGAGGAACACCGGUGGCGAAGGCGGCCAGCUGGCACUGACCUGACGCUGAGGCGCGAAGGCUUGGGGAGCGAACGGGAUUAGAAACCCCGGUAGUCC